This is a long non-coding RNA of Homo sapiens (human), 601 nucleotides long. RefSeq annotates it as PGM5P3 antisense RNA 1. NCBI's taxonomy places the organism in Eukaryota, Metazoa, Chordata, Mammalia, Primates, Hominidae. The record is from RefSeq and is marked validated. The transcript has 3 exons.
AAAAGGGCACGGGGCAGAGGGACUAUGUUGUGAGCCUGCGAAAGAAGUUUGUGUGGGGACUGUGGGCAGUGAACGCGUUGGGAACAAUAUGGAAAACUGGGAGCCGCCUUGGAAUCUACAGGGCCGGGACCCACUCGAGCCAUCCACACUUGCCCCAGCCUCCUCCAAAACAGCACACUUUCCGGCUGAAGAAAAGAAGAAUGGUAUUCACGCAGUUCCCAUUUUACAGAUGAAAACAAGAGGACUUUUUCUGUGAAGUCAAGAAAGUGGUUACAAUGGUACUUUCAGCCUGUCCGAAUUAUGUAUUGCCCCUCCCCUUUUUAUUAAUAACAUUGAAGUGUGAUGGGACAACCACUGAAGCCGUCAGUUGAAACCUGCUGGGACUUUUUAGCCAUUCUCUUCAACAUAAAGAAUGGGUGUUUUUGGAGGGGGUGAGAGGAAUGGGGAAAUGUUGUCAAAGAGUACAACGUUUUAGUUGAGACAGGAAGAAUAUAUUUUGUUGAGAUCUACAGCACAGCAUGGUGACUGUAGUUAACAAUGAAGUAUUGUCUAUUUCCAAAUUGCUAAGACAAUAAAUUUCAAAUGUUCUCACCACAAAAAA